AAGCAAUACACCAGUGAGUUAAAGAUGAUAAUAAUGCUCUCCUAUAUAAGAAAUAAUGAGAUUUCUUAUAUUUGACUGGAGCACAUACUAAACUAGCCCAUGUCCCAGAAUACAGAGCAGACUAGAACUCAACACACAAGGCAAGGAGGGGGGAGAAGCAAGCAGAAGAAUAAAGAAAGAUGAUGGAGGGGAGAGAAUUAAUUUGGAUGCCAAAGGAGAGAAUGAUCCUAAAGGAAGUCAGAAAGCCGUUCCAAGUAAGAUGUGUCUGGAGAUUCCCGUGUAAGUCUGCAAUAUGUGCUUUUGUUGUAAUGAGCCUGUCAGUGACAAGCUGGCUCCCUCCAGAUAUUUUUAUUUGUUCUUCUUUCAUCAUCUUUUGCCUGAAAGCAUCCCUGCUCCCUUAUAUAGAGAGGCUCCAUUGUUGAUUCCCAUUAGGGUGCUUUAUCACUUCCACUCCACUUCCACUCCUAAGACGGAUUGAACAUGGGUUUUAAUAUACUUUCAUUAUGCUUAUGUGAAAAUGCCCUGGGUGUGCUAUAUAAAUAUUGUCAUCCCCAUUUUAUUUGGUAAAAUUUCAGGCUGAAAACACUAGUUAAAUAAUCCUGGGUGACUCAAAUGGGCCCAAACCACAUGAGUGCCUGCCACUUGUCACAAACAGCGAACCUUAAUUCAGGGUCCCGGCAUCAGCAACAUUGUCAGGGUAAGGGAGGCAGUGGAUUACCUUUGAAGCCUGACUCCAUGUGUCCGUACUUGGUUGUAAACACCACUGAGUUAAAAGUGAUGUGGGUGGCGCUGUGGUCUAAACCACUGAGUCUCUUGAGCUUGCCGAUCAGAAGGUUGGCGGUUUGAAUCCCUGUGACGGGGUGAGCUCCCGUUGCUCUGUCGCAGCUCCUGCAAACCUAGCAGUUCGAAAGCAUACCAGUGCAAGUAGAUAAAUAGGUACCACUGUGGUGGGAAGGUUCUUUUGUGGUUUAGUCAUACUGGCCACAUGACCACAUGACCCAGAAAGCUGUCUGUGGACAAAUGCCAGAUCCCUUGGCCUGAAAGUGAGAUGAGCACCGCAACCCCAUAGUUGCCUCUGACUGGACUUAACCAUCCAGGGGCUCUUUACCUUUACCUUACUCCCCCAAAUAAGUAUUCAGAAGUAUUCAUUAUUCCCCCAAGUAAGUAUUCAGAAGACUGCCACCUAAAUUCUCAUUCCCUUCCAUUCUCCUUACAGUUCCCCAAAAGAAGCAGCAUUCAUUCCAUGCCAAUGGCCAGCAGGACAGUGCAAGGCACUUAGAUAUUGUGGCUCCAUCUCUCUUUUCUCUUGUCACUGCUUCCAUGCUUGGACAGGGCAGGUGAGCAGGUAGUGACAGCAAAGAAGAGGAGCAGGGCCAGGAGACUCUGGAAGUCAGCAAUGGGAUCCAUGCAGGUCUGUGGGCAUCAGCAAACGCCCAAAAAUGUCAUAUUCUUAAUGCCAGACUGAGUAGAAAUCUUCUUUUUCUUUGGCGAUCACUCGUAGCUGAAUAAGAUUGUCUUCCAUAAACAGGGUAUUAACAAUGAGUCCGUAAGUGACUAUGGAGGCCAGUUCUGGACCUAAACGUCCUUCCACAGUGGGGACAUUGGUUUCCAGGCGGGAGUUGAUCAUGGUGUGGAUUUGCCAAGCGU
RNAcentral lists this long non-coding RNA (1647 nucleotides) under Podarcis lilfordi (Lilford's wall lizard). Lineage: Eukaryota; Metazoa; Chordata; Lepidosauria; Squamata; Lacertidae. The record is from RNAcentral.